CGACGUAGCGACAAGUACCGUGAGGGAAAGAUGAAAAGAACUUUGAAAAGAGAGUUAAACAGUACGUGAAAUUGUUGAAAGGGAAACGAUUGAAGCCAGUCGUACCUUCGGGUAAUCAGCCUUUCGAGUGCGAUUCUGUGGAGUUUGAGGAGCUUAACACCUUCAUGCUUUGCAUAUUCGUGCUCUUGGGUGUACUUGCCCGUGUGGUUGGUUAACAUCAAUUUUGGUGGUCAUAAAAUGACUGGAGGAAUUAGCUUCGAUUA
RNAcentral lists this ribosomal RNA (263 nucleotides) under Glomeromycotina sp. RNAcentral's name for it is "partial large subunit ribosomal RNA". It matches the Rfam family "Eukaryotic large subunit ribosomal RNA", at positions 335 to 608 of the family's 3401-position model. Lineage: Eukaryota; Fungi; Glomeromycota. The record is from RNAcentral.